UUGCUUUAAAAGGAUUGGUGAAUCAACAAUUAUCGGCUGACCAUAUCGAGUCCUCAGUUAGCCCCUAUAACACUCCCAUCUUCGUCAUAAAAAAGAAGAGUGGAAAAUGGAGAUUUCUCCAGGAUUUAAGGAAAAUUAAUGAAAUCCUUGAACCCAUGGGGCCUUUGAUGAUGCCUAAUCAAAAUGUGAUCCCACAUUCUUAUCAAUUGGCUAUCAUAGAUUUGCAAGAUUGUUUCUUCUCCAUCCCCCUACAGGAGAAGGAUCGUAAAUUCUUUGCUUUCAC
RNAcentral lists this small RNA (283 nucleotides) under Podarcis lilfordi (Lilford's wall lizard). Lineage: Eukaryota; Metazoa; Chordata; Lepidosauria; Squamata; Lacertidae. The record is from RNAcentral.